UGCGCCCGGAGGACGCGGCCUUGGCCAAUCCCAGGGCUACAGGGCGCUUUUAAAAUGCAGGAACCUACUUCAGGGAACCACACAGAGGCCAAAUUCAGAAUCCCUACUUGAACCACUGACCUUUUGCCCUCUCCAAGGCCGGAAGCAAGCCCUUGCCUGCUGCACGCCUCAGUUGCCCCGUCUGUAAAGUGGGCAGCCCAUCAAAUUCACAUCUCCCUGGCUGAGAGUCAUCUGGAGAAAUAAUGAGUACGUGACCUAAUGAAAAUUUCAUGGUGCCUGCCGAGCGGGGUGGGUAAGCCACUGGCCCAACGCUGUCAUUACGGGAGAUGAAGCAGCGCGUGGGCUGAUGACUGGCAAGGGGUGCAGCCACAGCAAUCUUUCAUCAUGAGUUCCCUUGGGAGGCCAGGUAGGUCAGCUCUGAAAGCACACAGUGCUGCGUGGCCUGCCUUCCUGUGGCUGCGGCUUGGGCGCCAUCCCAAGCCGGGUUGGCCAGAACUCUGCCUGUGCAGCCCCGCCCCCAGGGAAGCAGGAACCAAUGCAUCUGAGCAACCUCCUCCUAUCUGCAGAGGAGGAAGCGAAGGUGUAGGGGGGUUAAGGCACUGGCCUAAGGUCCCACAGCCAAGGGGUGGCUGGGAGGUGCAGUCAGGUCUGCCUGGCACAGAGUCUGGUCUCCUGACCACGACGCCAAGCUAGUUAUUACUGUCACCACAACAGAAUACUAAUAAUAGUUGUUGUAAUUAUUAUUGUGGAGGGCUGUUCUCCAGGCAGGCAGGUCUGGGUUCCUGCGUCACUGGGGCCAGGAGGCUGGCUAGUGCCCACAAUGAGGCAGGGUCCUGUCCCAACCAGCACUCGGAGAAUGCUGGAGAUGGGAGGCUGAGCUCAUCCUGCAGCCUGGGGCCUCACCCCACCCUCCAUCCAAUGCUGGGUGGCAGGCGGCCUCUCCAAUGCCCAUCUGCCCUGGAGGUCUCUGGUGAUGGAUACAGUGGAGAUUCGUUGAUAUGAACAUUAAACAUUCAACCAGA
This 1022-nucleotide long non-coding RNA is filed under the name Pongo abelii (Sumatran orangutan). RNAcentral's name for it is "lincRNA". The record is from RNAcentral. Lineage: Eukaryota; Metazoa; Chordata; Mammalia; Primates; Hominidae.